Molecule: ribosomal RNA, 253 nt
Filed under: uncultured bacterium
Lineage: Bacteria
Description: partial 16S ribosomal RNA
Rfam family: Bacterial small subunit ribosomal RNA
Source: RNAcentral
UACGUAGGGGGCAAGCGUUGUCCGGAUUUAUUGGGCGUAAAGAGCGUGUAGGCGGCCUGACAGGUCUGCUGUGAAAACUCGAGGCUCAACCUCGAGAUGUCGGCGGAAACCGUCUGGCUAGAGUCCGGAAGAGGGGAGUGGAAUUCCUGGUGUAGCGGUGAAAUGCGCAGAUAUCAGGAAGAACACCUAUGGCGAAGGCAGCUCUCUGGGACGGUACUGACGCUGAGACGCGAAAGCGUGGGGAGCAAACAGG